Molecule: ribosomal RNA, 478 nt
Filed under: uncultured bacterium
Lineage: Bacteria
Description: partial 16S ribosomal RNA
Rfam family: Bacterial small subunit ribosomal RNA
Source: RNAcentral
GACGAACGCUGGCGGCGUGCUUAACACAUGCAAGUCGAACGGUAAGGCCCUUCGGGGUACACGAGUGGCGAACGGGUGAGUAACACGUGGGUGAUCUGCCCUGCACUUCGGGAUAAGCCUGGGAAACUGGGUCUAAUACCGGAUAGGACUCCGGACUGCAUGGCCUGGGGUGGGAAGCUUUUGCGGUGUGGGAUGGGCCCGCGGCCUAUCAGCUUGUUGGUGGGGGGAUGGCCGACCAAGGCGACGACGGGUAGCCGGCCUGAGAGGGUGACCGGCCACACUGGGACUGAGAUACGGCCCAGACUCCUACGGGAGGCAGCAGUGGGGAAUAUUGCACAAUGGGCGCAAGCCUGAUGCAGCGACGCCGCGUGAGGGAUGACGGCCUUCGGGUUGUAAACCUCUUUCAGCACAGACGAAGCGCAAGUGACGGUAUGUGCAGAAGAAGGACCGGCCAACUACGUGCCAGCAGCCGCCGUAA